ACACGACUACAUUAGAUACCCCUGUAGUCCUAGCCGUAAACGAUACUCGCUAGGUGUCGGCCACGGUGCGACCGUUGUCGGUGCCGUAGGGAAGCCGUGAAGCGAGCCACCUGGGAAGUACGGCCGCAAGGCUGAAACUUAAAGGAAUUGGCGGGGGAGCACAACAACGGGUGGAGCUUGCGGUUUAAUUGGAUUCAACGCCGGAAAUCUUACCGGGACCGACAGCAGCAUGAAGGCCAAGCUGAAGACUUUGCCGGAUUAGCUG
This 265-nucleotide ribosomal RNA is filed under the name uncultured archaeon. Its description in RNAcentral is "partial 16S ribosomal RNA". It matches the Rfam family "Archaeal small subunit ribosomal RNA", at positions 717 to 982 of the family's 1478-position model. The record is from RNAcentral.